UUUAUUGAUGAAUGGCAUUCCACAAUUUGUCUUAUAUUAUCCGGCGAUGAUUCUUCAGAAUAUGUGCCAGGAUUAACAUCAUGCAUCACCAUCUGAAU
Molecule: small nucleolar RNA, 98 nt
Filed under: Kazachstania africana CBS 2517
Lineage: Eukaryota; Fungi; Ascomycota; Saccharomycetes; Saccharomycetales; Saccharomycetaceae
Source: RNAcentral